GCAGGGUCAUGGUCAGGUCAUUGGCCAAACCGGCUUUAACCUGGUUGGUGGUACCCUUCCAGACCGGAGCCUGUGCCAGCUCGGUGCCCUUCUG
This 94-nucleotide transfer RNA is filed under the name Pseudomonas taetrolens. Its description in RNAcentral is "tRNA-Stop(tta)". Lineage: Bacteria; Pseudomonadati; Pseudomonadota; Gammaproteobacteria; Pseudomonadales; Pseudomonadaceae. The record is from RNAcentral.